UACGGGGGGAGCAAGCGUUGUUCGGAUUUACUGGGCGUAAAGGGCGCGUAGGCGGCCACUGCAAGUCAGUUGUGAAAUCUCCGGGCUUAACCCGGAAAGGUCAACUGAUACUGCAGGGCUAGAGUGCAGAAGGGGCAACUGGAAUUCUCGGUGUAGCGGUGAAAUGCGUAGAUAUCGAGAGGAACACCUGCGGCGAAAGCGGCUCACUGGACCACAACUGACGCUGAUGCACGAAAGCUAGGGGAGCAAACAGG
This 254-nucleotide ribosomal RNA is filed under the name uncultured bacterium. RNAcentral describes it as "partial 16S ribosomal RNA". It matches the Rfam family "Bacterial small subunit ribosomal RNA", at positions 524 to 776 of the family's 1533-position model. The record is from RNAcentral.